CACAAAUAUAUAUCACGUCGAACGAGGGUGCAACCACAGACAUUUUAAAUUUCCCCCCAAAAUAUCCGGAUUGGCCUCCACGUUGGGAAACACUGAUCUAAUAAAUAGCGAUACGCGUGCUGAAGCCACGCCGUCAGUAUUGCAUACACAUGGGAGGAGGAGCGUGGCAUUAACCGCGGACGCGGCCUAGAAUGCGUUACAAAGCGUUCGAUCGGAUUAAGCGGCUAAUAGCCAGUCUAUAAUAAUAAUCCCGACAUAAUAACGUGGUAUUACGCGAAGGAUCGGGCUACACCGUAUAAUUUCGUCGCGGCGUGGUCGCACCCAACCGCCAAAAGGGCUAACCUAAAUCUCGGUUUCGUACCUUGCUCGAGAAAGAAGAUGAUGAUCGGCUAUCGCUGCCAAAACCGAUUAGCCAUCGAUUUUAAAGUCGAUCGCACACAGCCUCUCUCGACUCGUCGAUUAUUUUCUUUAAUAUCUUCCUCGUUGAAAUAAGUUUCGAAUAAAGUUGUUGCGUUACUUCUUCUAUUGGCUUAUCGUCUUUUGGUUGGAAGAUAAACGUGGUAUGUGAUUAAAAGAAUCUUUAAUUCGAUUCGAUUAAAAUUUAUUGGAAAAACAAUUUUAUACACCGUUUGUGAAACGGAUGAAAAGAGCGAAAAAACGAAAAGGAGGAUUAAGGAUAGAAACUCAAUUUACGUUUAAUCAAUUCGAGGAGUUCGAAGGGAGUACAAAGGGAUAUCGAGGAAAGCGCGAAAUGCAAAAGGGCGGGGGAAGAAGGGGGGGAGUAAAUCGAGGGAGAAAGGAAAAACGGUGGAAUAUUUCUUAUGGUGCCUCGAGAAUUCUCGAUGGGACACGUGUGUUCGAAAUUAUUCGAAUAAUUGGAAUAUUUCUCAUCGAGGAUCCUCGACGACGGAAUUCGGAAGAAGAGUCAACGAUUCUGGCAACGCGUUGAAUAUCCAUUGGUUCGAAGAUUCGUUGGCCGAUUCUCAGUCGUCUAACUUGCAUCUCUCGGCUGCCUUUUCGUUUUUACGAUCUUACUCCUGCUCGCGGUGUUCCAUUCUUCUUACUCUUGUUCGAGACGUUGUACGUAGGCCUGGACGGAUUCUGGUUUUCCUUCGGAUAGGUGAAGUAGCGAUGGGAUUAAGCGCGUCGCAAGUUGACGAACAAGAUUCGAAUCUUUUGUAGGUAAUUUUUGAUUGUAGAAAGUAAUUCCAAGUGGAAUGGAUUCGGUGAUUCUUCCAUUUAAAAUCAAGUUUUUUAUAUAUUUGUGACAUACGAUGUCUUUAUUUCCAAAUAUUUAAGAAUUUCCAUUUUCAAAAGAUAUUGAUAAAAAUCUACUAAAUUAAAUAACUAAUAAAUUUAAUCUUCUGUAUUCUAAAACUUCACUCGUCGAAUAUUCUAUCAAUCUUGAAAGGAUCGACUUGUACAAUAUAUUUUACCAACAAACUUUCGAAAAAUCGAAAAUAUUCUCAAAUGAAAAGUUGACGCGAAUCAAUCGUUCUCUCGAUUUUUCUAUAAAGAUAAUCAUCAAGAUUUCGCAGAACACUCGGAAAGAAGUGAAUUUUUUUCAUUAAAUUCGAGUUUGAUCCCAUCGCUAGGUGACAAAGACAGGUCGAGGACCACGCAGAACAGAAUCUUUCGUUCGAUGUUGUCGCGACACUCCUCCGGCCGUCUCGACGAGUUAGUUGCUCUCAGUCUGUCGUCUUAUCGCCGUGACAUCGGCAAGAGAAUUAUUAUCGAACUCGAUCGGCACGAGGGGAAUUUAUUAAAAGCUGACCGGUGCACCGAUCGCUAUUUACUUCUCCGUUUAUUAGAUUCGUUUUUAUCGUUGGAUAUUGACUCUGACUACUUCGAUUUAUCUAUAGAAUUCUCGAGAUCUCCGUGUCCGGAUAAGAGCAUAAAUACGAGCCUAUUACUUAACUCUUACUUUACGUGAAACACGUGAAGAAUGAGAUAUUUUUUUAUUGUUAAAUAUUUUCCAAAAGAAUGUGAAAUCUUUAUAUAUAAUUUCUGAUAUUCUCGCUAAUUAUUAUUAAUAUCGUUUUAAAAGAAUACAGAUUUAUAUUCUUAUGAGGUGUCUCGAAAAUAUGAGAACUCGAUUAUUUUCCUCUGCAAAAAUAUUUCAUUUUGUUGGCGAGUUUUUGAAAAUGUAUAAAUAUUUUGCUCGUACAUCAUUUGCAUAUACAGAAAUUAAUAAUAAAUAUAAUGUACAAAAAUACAAAAAUAUAUAAAAUGUCUAAAGUAAAUUUAAUAUUUAUGAUUGCAAAAUAAAAUAUAUUUUUACUUGAAUG
This is a long non-coding RNA of Apis cerana (Asiatic honeybee), 2288 nucleotides long. RefSeq lists it as uncharacterized. NCBI's taxonomy places the organism in Eukaryota, Metazoa, Arthropoda, Insecta, Hymenoptera, Apidae. The record is from RefSeq and is a predicted model, not a curated record.